Molecule: ribosomal RNA, 614 nt
Filed under: uncultured bacterium
Lineage: Bacteria
Description: bacterial SSU rRNA
Rfam family: Bacterial small subunit ribosomal RNA (bases 1-522)
Source: RNAcentral
CCUACGGGAGGCAGCAGUGGGGAAUAUUGGGCAAUGGAGGAAACUCUGACCCAGCGACGCCGCGUGCGGGAUGAAGGCCUUCGGGUUGUAAACCGCUUUCAGUAGGGAAGAAGCGAAAGUGACGGUACCUACAAAAGAAGCACCGGCUAACUAUGUGCCAGCAGCCGCGGUAAUACAUAGGGUGCAAGCGUUGUCCGGAAUUAUUGGGCGUAAAGAGCUCGUAGGUCGUUUGUUACGUCGGAUGUGAAAACCUGAGGCUCAACCUCAGGCCUGCAUUCGAUACGGGCAAACUAGAGUUUGGUAGGGGAGACUGGAAUUCCUGGUGUAGCGGUGGAAUGCGCAGAUAUCAGGAGGAACACCAAUGGCGAAGGCAGGUCUCUGGGCCAAUACUGACACUGAGGAGCGAAAGUCUGGGGAGCGAACAGGAUUAGAUACCCUGGUAGUCCAGACCGUAAACGGUGGGCACUAGUUGUGGGAACCUUCCACGGUUUCUGCGACGCNGCUACGACAUAAGUGCCCGCCGUCGGGAGGUACGAGUCGCGAGAAGUAAACGUACGAAAGGAAGUUAGUAACGGUCGUGAGACGUGCCGAACGGACGACGACGAGGGAGGAGG